RNAcentral lists this ribosomal RNA (464 nucleotides) under uncultured bacterium. RNAcentral describes it as "partial 16S ribosomal RNA". It matches the Rfam family "Bacterial small subunit ribosomal RNA", at positions 28 to 507 of the family's 1533-position model. The record is from RNAcentral.
GACGAACGCUGGCGGCGUGCUUAACACAUGCAAGUCGAACGGUAAGGCCCUUUCGGGGGUACACGAGUGGCGAACGGGUGAGUAACACGUGGGUGAUCUGCCCUGCACUUUGGGAUAAGCCUGGGAAACUGGGUCUAAUACCGGAUAGGACUACGCGAUGCAUGUCGUGUGGUGGAAAGCUUUUGCGGUGUGGGAUGGGCCCGCGGCCUAUCAGCUUGUUGGUGGGGUGAUGGCCUACCAAGGAGACGACGGGUAGCCGGCCUGAGAGGGUGUCCGGCCACACUGGGACUGAGAUACGGCCCAGACUCCUACGGGAGGCAGCAGUGGGGAAUAUUGCACAAUGGGCGCAAGCCUGAUGCAGCGACGCCGCGUGGGGGAUGACGGCCUUCGGGUUGUAAACCCCUUUCAGCACAGACGAAGCGUAAGUGACGGUAUGUGCAGAAGAAGCACCGGCCAACUACGUG